Long non-coding RNA from Daphnia pulicaria, 679 nucleotides. RefSeq lists it as uncharacterized. The record is from RefSeq and is a predicted model, not a curated record. Lineage: Eukaryota; Metazoa; Arthropoda; Branchiopoda; Diplostraca; Daphniidae. The transcript has 5 exons.
CACUGAUCAUCCUAACACGCAUCUUGCCAUUCUUCCCCGUUAUCACGCCUCAUGUCGGGUUGAUUGAUCGAAGUGUCGAAGUAGUACACAGUGAGCAACGAGACAUGCAACCGGAUUUAUCAACGUUGGCUAUUUCAUAUAGUGGUCAAUUAAAGAACAAAAAACCUCAAUUCCUGAACAUGAAUUCCAUCUGGUGACGAGGAAACCUGUAACUAAAACAGCUCCUCGUGACAGAGAAGACCGCAAGGAACGACGUAAUAUCCAAGAAACCGAGGAAGAACCUCGUGAAAGGAAAGGCGAGCGUAAAAGGGAUCGGCUGCCAGAGGAUGUUUGAUGGAUGUCGAACGUCGAAAGGAGUAUGAACGAGAAAAAGUUAAUUUAACAGUAUGAUCCCCCAAGGCAUGGAAACGGAAGUCCCUCUGAUGGAAACGCUGAUAGACGAGGACACAACAGAUUAUUAUUAUAAAAAAAAAUUGUAAAUCUUUCUAAUUAAAUAUUACCUUUUUCCUUUUGUAUAGCUCUCUCGCUCUCGUAGCUUACCUCUUUCACGAGAAGCAUCGGAUCGCUCAUUUCACCCGCGCAGAUAGAACAGAACGAGCUCCUUAUUAGAUUAUUAUUAUCCUUAUUAUUAUUAUUAGAUUAUAUUCCUUCAAUUAUUAAAAUAAAAUUUGAUUAACCU